UCACCUCACCGAAACUCCUUUCUCUUUUGGUUUCGGCUUUGGAUUUCUGUUUUAGAAAUGUAGGAACCUAAGAGAUGGUAAAGUUUCAUAUUCUUGGGUUGUAGGUGAAGAUUGGGUUUUGGAUUGUGAAAUUAGGGCCCAGAUGAACUCUAAGCUCGACUGAAACUGAGGCUGUUAGAUAUUGUUUUGCUUUAGUUGAGGUUUAGGUUUUUGAUUCUUGGAAAUGAGUACAUAACUAAUUAAGUACAUGUAUCGAGAAUUGUUUCGUGGUUUCUAAAUAGUACUUAGUGUGAUAGUCAGGUUCCGUUGUGAUUUGUGGGGAAUGGGGUGCUGAUCUGGGGUUGUCAGUGUUUUAUCAUUGUCAUCUUGUUCUACAAUAUACUGUAGCAUCUUGUUCUACAGAUGAGUUUUUGUUAAUGUAGUGACUGAAAUCUUGAAGUAGAUGAACAACUAAAAUUUGGUGGUAGCAGCCAAUCAAAAAUUGGAAUUUGAAUAAUGUUUUGAAAGAGAAUUUAGAAGAUGCUGGUAUAUAGAAUUCUCAGAAAGCGAUGAUGCUCUAACCUGGAUGUCGUACCCAUUAUACCCUGCGGUUAAGAUCAUCUGGAGGACGGACUUUGCUCCCUAGUUGUUGUACUUUUCAUUUGAAGAUAAAAUCUUUUGCCAUCACAAAUGCUUUCAAUAUCUACAACAAGCUACCAGUGUCAGAAACUUUAAUACUAGAAAUGGUUUUACUUUUGGGUAGUGCUGUUCGCAUUCUCUAUUACUCCUCACACUCCCUUUCAUUUUUACUAAUUUUCAAUGUUGUGUAUGUUUUUCAUUCUUUUCAUUUCAAAACUACACGGACCCCUUACUAUCAUCACUACUGCUUUCCCAACGUUUGAAGUCCAGAACCAUCUACCUCUCCACCUAAGCUGGUGUACUCCACAAUGCCCGGUUACCCAAACCCUCAAAGCAGCGGAGUCUUCUCCUUCCCACGCUGCUCACAGACCCCAGCACUGAUAACGACUAAUGUUAACAGUUACGGUGCUCUUGCAGCUCCUUAGCGGCCAUUCGUCCGACCUGAAUCGGGUGGCUCACACAUAACCCCAUUCAGCGGCCGGCAGGUGCAUAAAAGGAACCAUGCCAGGCAUUGUAGUGGAAUGUCAUGGAUGAAUGGGCAACUUUGAAAGACAUUAUUGACAAUUGAAAUAUUGAUUAGGCAACUAGUCUGUAUCCAUGAUUUCCAGAAAGACUUGGAAUUGGGUUUUUUUGGGACCUUAUCUGUUUGAAAAGUUACUUUUGGUUUUGCGAGUUUGGUGUAGGAUGAUUGAUUUUUAAGGAUUGGAGUGGGACUGUUUUGAGCUGGUAAUGCUGUAUGACUUAUCAGACUGAGAAUUUUGGAUGUCAAAAGAUGAAACACUUUGGAGCUAAAACUGAAUCUCAACUCAUUCAGGGGUGAGGUGUGAAGAGAUAUUUUAAGGAUGAGCUUUAGAAACCCAUAUGAUCAAAUAAGAAACCAUUUAUCAAUUCAUGAUGAGUUUCGAUGCCCUGUUUAUGUAAAGGACGUCGUACCAAUCAUCCUUGCUUUGUCCAAGACAUGGAUAUCAGGCUAAGCAUAGAAAAUCGCUACUGAAUGUUGGUGGACCAGACAGGUUAUCCCGUGUUCAAAUGGCUGAGACGGUUGCUGAUAUAAGGGGAUACAACCUCUCAUUAAUUAAAUCUGUAUCUGCAUCAUCGGUUGAUCAUGGAGUUGUGUCUCCUGCUGACAUAUCCAUGGAUAUAUCUAAGCUAGUUCAGACGCUUGGUAUUUCUCCAAUUUCAUUUGGAAAUGGUGUCAGAUUGACGCUUGAAUUGUGACCGGUGACCAAGUCUUGAUGCCAUGAAGGUCUUGUAAAUUGCUUCAUUAUCGUAAUAGCGAGGAAUACUCAUCAUUUUCACCGAUACUUAUUGAUUGGCGUAAAAAUGUUGUUAAAAAGUGUGUUCUAGAGAGACUUAUCUUUUAUCCCAA
This is an RNA transcript of Rosa chinensis, 1987 nucleotides long. RefSeq lists it as uncharacterized. The transcript is spliced from 4 exons. Lineage: Eukaryota; Viridiplantae; Streptophyta; Magnoliopsida; Rosales; Rosaceae. The record is from RefSeq and is a predicted model, not a curated record.